Molecule: transfer RNA, 86 nt
Filed under: Clostridia bacterium
Lineage: Bacteria; Bacillati; Bacillota; Clostridia
Description: tRNA-Leu
Rfam family: tRNA
About the family: Transfer RNA (tRNA) molecules are approximately 80 nucleotides in length. Their secondary structure includes four short double-helical elements and three loops (D, anti-codon, and T loops).
Source: RNAcentral
GCCGAAGUGGUGAAAUGGCAGACACGACGGACUCAAAAUCCGUUGAGGGCAACUUCGUGCGGGUUCAAGUCCCGCCUUCGGCACCA